GGCACGAUGGCUGAGUGCCUAAGCGGUGGAUUGUAGCUCCAUGGACAGAGGUUCAAUUCCUCUUCGUGUCA
This 71-nucleotide transfer RNA is filed under the name Nannobrachium ritteri (broadfin lampfish). Its description in RNAcentral is "tRNA-Tyr". It matches the Rfam family "tRNA". Rfam says of the family: Transfer RNA (tRNA) molecules are approximately 80 nucleotides in length. Their secondary structure includes four short double-helical elements and three loops (D, anti-codon, and T loops). Lineage: Eukaryota; Metazoa; Chordata; Actinopteri; Myctophiformes; Myctophidae. The record is from RNAcentral.